Nomascus leucogenys (northern white-cheeked gibbon) is the source of this 1011-nucleotide long non-coding RNA. RefSeq lists it as uncharacterized. The transcript is spliced from 3 exons. NCBI's taxonomy places the organism in Eukaryota, Metazoa, Chordata, Mammalia, Primates, Hylobatidae. The record is from RefSeq and is a predicted model, not a curated record.
AUGAUACACAGAAAAAUGCCAACCCUGGUUCCAUUGGCACAAGCUUCACCUUCAUUCACUGGAGCCUCAGCCCAUAGCCACCCAGGGAGGCAGGCAGGGCAGUGUUAACCUUCCCAUUUCACAAAUGAGAAAACUGAAUUGGCAUAUAAGUGAUUUGUACGUGGUUAAGAGUUAAGUCUUGAACCCAGGACAUCUGUCCAAUUCCAGUACUUUUUUUUUUGCAAGAUUUUACCUUCUGAAAAGAUCUCAAACUAACCCACGUGGCCUGGACAGCAGCCUUUUCCACUUGCCUCCUCCGACCUGCAGUCUGAAUUCCAUUCCCAGGGCAGGGCUUGCCCCAGGGAGGGGACCUCCUUCUAGAGCAUUCAAUGAAGCUGCAAGAUUGAGAGGAGUAUUCUGCAUCUUUUUAAAUGGCAAAAUAAACUGUUCAAAUAUCCACUGUUAAGGUAGAGGGGAAUGUGGUGUUGCAAGAAGAAAAUUGCCCUGCUAGCACAGAUGUGAGAAGACAACUCCCAGAGCAAUCAGCACCAUUACUUUCCCUUAACUCCCCAAGGUACCCUCCUUGCAUUUAUCUUUCUCUCCUACAUUGACCUUCACUGGAGAAUAAAAAUUAGAGAGAGUGAGGAAUUGCAUGUGAUUUGUACUGGGUUCCUGGAUCCACGCCCUCCUUCCUAGCCCUGUUCCUCCAGGCUGGCUCUACUGUGGCCUUAAUAAACAGAGGGUGGGAGCUGAUGAAGACAUGCAGAGAAGACUUGACUGCAGCCUGUGGUGUAGGCUGGCCUGGGAACAAGUCAGCAGAGGCACAUUCCAUCAGUUGGCAAUGUUAUGAGCAUAAUAACUUCCUUAAGUGAUACAGGUUGUAGUCUUGUAGCCUAAGUUCCACAAAGCUUCUUUAAAAUGUUUUAUAAGCAUGUUCAGCAAUGGCAGUUUACUAUUAGUAAUAUAAAUCAUAGGCCAGUCACAAUGUUGUUUUAAUAUUUUUAAUAUUCCCAAUUUUCUUACACUAAGUCU